Molecule: ribosomal RNA, 253 nt
Filed under: uncultured bacterium
Lineage: Bacteria
Description: partial 16S ribosomal RNA
Rfam family: Bacterial small subunit ribosomal RNA
Source: RNAcentral
UACGUAGGUGGCAAGCGUUGUCCGGAUUUACUGGGCGUAAAGAGCGCGCAGGCGGUCGAGUAAGUCGAAUGUGAAAGCCCCCGGCUCAACUGGGGAGGGUCAUUCGAUACUGUUCGACUUGAAGGCAGGAGAGGGCAGCAGAAUUCCCGGUGUAGUGGUGAAAUGCGUAGAUAUCGGGAGGAAUACCAGUGGCGAAGGCGGCUGCCUGGCCUGUUCUUGACGCUGAGGCGCGAAAGCUGGGGGAGCAAACGGG